CGGUAAGGAGUGCUGGAGCGGUAUGAAGUGAGCAUGCAGGAAUGAGUAACGAUAAGAUAUAUGAGAAUUGUAUCCGCCGUAAAUCUAAGGUUUCCUACGCGAUGGUCGUCAUCGUAGGGUUAGUCGGGUCCUAAGCCGAGUCCGAAAGGGGUAGGUGAUGGCAAAUUGGUUAAUAUUCCAAUACCGACUUAUGGAGCGUGAUGGGGGGACGCAUAGGGUUAAGCGAGCUAGCUGAUGGAAGCGCUAGUCUAAGGGCGUAGAUUGGAGGGAAGGCAAAUCCACCUCUGUAUUUGAAACCCAAACAGGCUCUUUGAGUCCUUUUAGGACAAAGGGAGAAUCGCUGAUACCGUCGUGCCAAGAAAAGCCUCUAAGCAUAUCCAUAGUCGUCCGUACCGCAAACCGACACAGGUAGAUGAGAUGAGUAUUCUAAGGCGCGUGAAAGAACUCUGGUUAAGGAACUCUGCAAACUAGCACCGUAAGUUCGCGAUAAGGUGUGCCACAGCGAUGUGGUCUCAGCAAAGAGUCCCUCCCGACUGUUUACCAAAAACACAGCACUUUGCCAACUCGUAAGAGGAAGUAUAAGGUGUGACGCCUGCCCGGUGCUCGAAGGUUAAGAGGAUGCGUCAGUCGCAAGAUGAAGCGUUGAAUUGAAGCCCGAGUAAACGGCGGCCGUAACUAUAACGGUCCUAAGGUAGCGAAAUUCCUUGUCGGUUAAAUACCGACCUGCAUGAAUGGCGUAACGAGAUGGGAGCUGUCUCAACCAGAGAUUCAGUGAAAUUGUAGUGGAGGUGAAAAUUCCUCCUACCCGCGGCAAGACGGAAAGACCCCGUGGACCUUUACUACAACUUAGCACUGCUAAUGGGAAUAUCAUGCGCAGGAUAGGUGGGAGGCUUUGAAGUAAGGGCUUUGGCUCUUAUGGAGCCAUCCUUGAGAUACCACCCUUGAUGUUUCUGUUAGCUAACUGGCCUGUGUUAUCCACAGGCAGGACAAUGCUUGGUGGGUAGUUUGACUGGGGCGGUCGCCUCCUAAAAAGUAACGGAGGCUUGCAAAGGUUGGCUCAUUGCGGUUGGAAAUCGCAAGUUGAGUGUAAUGGCACAAGCCAGCCUGACUGUAAGACAUACAAGUCAAGCAGAGACGAAAGUCGGUCAUAGUGAUCCGGUGGUUCUGUGUGGAAGGGCCAUCGCUCAAAGGAUAAAAGGUACCCCGGGGAUAACAGGCUGAUCUCCCCCAAGAGCUCACAUCGACGGGGAGGUUUGGCACCUCGAUGUCGGCUCAUCGCAUCCUGGGGCUGGAGCAGGUCCCAAGGGUAUGGCUGUUCGCCAUUUAAAGCGGUACGCGAGCUGGGUUCAGAACGUCGUGAGACAGUUCGGUCCCUAUCUGCCGCGGGCGUAGGAAAGUUGAGGAGAGCUGUCCCUAGUACGAGAGGACCGGGAUGGACGUGUCACUGGUGCACCAGUUGUUCUGCCAAGAGCAUCGCUGGGUAGCUACACACGGAUGUGAUAACUGCUGAAAGCAUCUAAGCAGGAAGCCAACUCCAAGAUGAACUUUCCCUGAAGCUCGCACAAAGACUAUGUGCUUGAUAGGGUAGAUGUGUAAGCGCAGUAAUGCGUUUAGCUGACUACUACUAAUAGAGCGUUUGGCUUGUUUUU
This 1649-nucleotide ribosomal RNA is filed under the name Helicobacter pylori Hp A-17. RNAcentral describes it as "bacterial LSU rRNA". It matches the Rfam family "Bacterial large subunit ribosomal RNA", at positions 1261 to 2925 of the family's 2925-position model. The record is from RNAcentral. Lineage: Bacteria; Pseudomonadati; Campylobacterota; Epsilonproteobacteria; Campylobacterales; Helicobacteraceae.